This 464-nucleotide ribosomal RNA is filed under the name uncultured bacterium. RNAcentral describes it as "partial 16S ribosomal RNA". It matches the Rfam family "Bacterial small subunit ribosomal RNA", at positions 338 to 795 of the family's 1533-position model. The record is from RNAcentral.
CCUACGGGAGGCAGCAGUAGGGAAUCUUCCACAAUGGGCGAAAGCCUGAAGGAGCAAUGCCGCGUGAACGAGGAAGGUCUUCGGAUCGUAAAGUUCUGUUGUAGGGGAAAAAGAGCGGAGAGAGGAAAUGCUUUCUGAUUGAUAUUACCCUUCGAGGAAGCCACGGCUAACUACGUGCCAGCAGCCGCGGUAAUGCGUAGGUGGCGAGCGUUAUCCGGAAUUGGUGGGCGUAAAGGGUGCGUAGGCGGCCUGAUAGAUCUGGUGUGAAAGGUACCGGCUCAACCGGUACAGGCUCUGGAAACUGGCAAGCUAGAGAGCAGGAGAGGGCAGUGGAACUCCAUGUGUAGCGGUGAAAUGCGUAGAUAUAUGGAGGAACACCAGUGGCGAAGGCGGCCUCCUGGCCUGUUACUGACGCUGAGGCACGAAAGCGUGGGGAGCAAACAGGAUUAGAUACCCUGGUAGUC